Molecule: long non-coding RNA, 1005 nt
Filed under: Salmo salar (Atlantic salmon)
Lineage: Eukaryota; Metazoa; Chordata; Actinopteri; Salmoniformes; Salmonidae
Description: lncRNA (ENSSSAG00000083442.1, ENSSSAG00000101064.1)
Source: RNAcentral
UGGUCCCCUAUCUGUACUAUUCUAGACCCUUUGGAGUGGUCCCCUAUCUGCACUAUUCUAGACCCUUUGGAGUGGUCCCCUAUCUGCACUAUUCUAGACCCUUAGAGUGGUCCCCUAUCUGCACUAUUCUAGACCCUUUGGAGUGGUCCCCUAUCUGCACUAUUCUAGACCCUUGGAGUGGUCCCCUAUCAGCACUGUUCUAUACCCUUGGAGUGGUUAACAAACAAAUCUUUGGAUGCUACAGUACAUGGGCUCUUUGCUAUCUUUCCCAUAUUUCCUUCAUGACUCUAACCCUUUAGCACGAGGGCGUCAAACUCCACGAAGGGCCCUGUUUUUGGGGUUUUUCCCUUCGUUUAAGACCUAGACGACCAGGUGAGGGGAGUUCCUUACUAAUUAGUGACCUACAGUACCAGGUGAGGGGAGUUCCUUACUAAUUAGUGACCUAGACUACCAGGUGAGGGGAGUUCCUUACUAAUUAGUGACCUAGACGACCAGGUGAGGGGAGUUCCUUACUAAUUAGUGACAUUAAUCAAUCAAGCACAAGGGUGGAGCGAAAUUCAAUUCAAAGGGCUUUAUUGAGAAACAUAUGUUAACAUUGCCAAAGCAAGUAAUAUAGAUAAUAAACAAAAGGGAAAUAAACAAUAAAAAAUGUACAGUAAACUUUACACUCACAGAAGUUCCAAAAGAGUAAAGACAUUUCAAAUGUCAUUGUCUAUAUACAGUCUUGUAACGAUGUGCAAAUAGUUAAAGUACUAAAGGGAAAAUAAAUAAAAACAGAUAUAGGUUGUUACAGUGGUGUUUGUUCUUCACUGGUUGACAUCAUGCUGCUGUGACUGCCAAAUAGCUUUUUAGUUUGCUCAGUUUUUUUUUCUCUCCAAUAUGUCAAGUAAUUAUCUUUUUAUUUUUCUCAUGAUUUGGUUGGGUCUAAUUGUGUUGCUGUCCUGGGGCUCUGUGGGGUCUAUUUGUGUUAUUGGCAUGGGAAACAUAUGUUUACAUUUCCAAGGC